GUGCUCUCUACGGCAGCACAUAUACUAAAAUUGGAACGAUAGAGAGAAGAUUAGCAAGGCCCCUGCGUGAGGAUGACAUGCAACUUGUGAAGUGUUCCAUAUUUUU
Molecule: small nuclear RNA, 106 nt
Organism: Heterocephalus glaber (naked mole-rat)
Lineage: Eukaryota; Metazoa; Chordata; Mammalia; Rodentia; Bathyergidae
Source: Ensembl